Cyanistes caeruleus (blue tit) is the source of this 3714-nucleotide non-coding RNA. The record is from RefSeq and is a predicted model, not a curated record. Lineage: Eukaryota; Metazoa; Chordata; Aves; Passeriformes; Paridae.
ACUGGGGCCAAUGGGGGAGCAGGGAAGGGAGAACUUUCUAGAGAAAGGACGUAUAAGGCAGCAAUAAGAAGCCAGCAGCUGACUCAGGAGUUUCUUGUUAAGCAAGAUUUGAGCACCUAAUUCUCACACCUGUGGAUAAAACUUUGCUGUAAAGAAGAGGUCAAGGGAUGCAUGAGCCAGAAUUUCCUAUUUAAUUCCACUGUAAGGGAAAAGACACCCUCCUUCCCAAGCUGUCAUCUACAAAUCCAAAAGAAGAACUGUGUCCUUCUGAUCAGCCUGAUGAUCACCACAGACCAUCUGGGCUGCACUUCUGGCCAAUAUUCAGGUGUGAAGUAGACUUGAAGCAUUUCAAACUCUCAAACAAAAAGAAGUGUGAGUAUUUUGCCAGACAAAGCCAGCUUAGGUACAGGCAGAAUUUUAGCAAAGACUGGGGAGACUACACACUCCCAUACUAAAAACAGAAAUACUUCUCCUUCAGACCUUUAUUUAGGGUUCCUAGUGCAGAAGUGGAGCAGGAAAGGAGCCGUGUUAUCAAUCAGUCCGAGGGCUCUCACCCGGCUGGAACAGGACAUGUUGUGCACUAUAUAUUUAUAUUUACCCAUUUCAAAAGGCUGCAGAUUCAUUUUUAUUUUUCCUUGACAUGAGAAAUAUUGGUGGAAGCAUUGAAGGAUUAGAGAGUGCCUGUGAUUUUCCUGCUAAAGUAAACAUCAGCCAAUGCUGUAACCAGAUCACAUUCUUGUGGCGGGCUGAAGAGACUUUAAUUUUCAGCCACACUGAGAAGAAGCAAAAAGUGCACCAGGAAAUGGGCUGAGCUUUCUUUAGUGUGGGAAUGAAAACGUGGGACAGAUGGGGAUAUUUGGCCUCAUUUUACCUGCCCUGAUCCCUGGGAUCCAUCAAGACUAGUUCAGGAUGAGAUGCCCCAUCCCUGGGAGUGUCCAUGUUGGAUGGGGCUUGAAGCAACCUGGCAGGGUGGAAGGUGGGGCAGGGAUGGCACUGGAUGGGCUUUAAGGUCCUUCCUACCCCAACCAUUCUGGGAUUUGAAGGAUUCUGCAGACAAGAAAUGAAAUGAUUUCUCCAUUUUGGAGACAGCAGUGCCGUCCUGCCCAAGCAGUCUCUGCCCUGAGUGUGUGUGGUGGCACUUGCAGGCAGGACAGAGCCCCACCAGGGAGCAAACACGUGGCAAAAGAGCCCUCACUCCAAAAAACCUUCAGCAGGGCAAGUUCAGGGAGGGAGGAGACCGGCCCCAUCAGCUGCCCUGUGCUGGCUGAGGUGUGAGGAGCAGAAAUGUCACAGACCUGAGGUCACCCAGGCAGCUUUCAGCAGACAGGUCCCUGGAGCCCAAGCACUCCAACGAGGUCAGAUCACAGCGAGGCUCUUCCUUGCCUUCCUUGGAGGACAUUUCUGUGCAGGCACCAGAGAGGAUUUAUCUGUAAAUGGUUUUGAUAACCAACAUUUGUAAAUGGUUUGAUAACCACGAGAAAUGAAAGCUGGAAAUUAUGUACUCUAAAGAGUAAUUAAAGACAAGCACCACCCCAAGUAAAGGGGGUUCAAAAUAUUUUUUAAGAGCACACAGAUAGCAGAUGGAAGAUAAAGUUUUCUGCUUUUUAAAACCCCAAACACCAAGCAGUGUACUGCAAAAUAAAUCCAUUGUUUUGCCGUGUUAUUGUGAAGAGGGUACCUGGUGCAGUGGAAGAUGAUUCUCUGAGUAAUUUUUGGACAUCAUUCUGUUUUCACAAUGCAAAAUUCUGCAUACAUUGGGUGGGAGCUCUAUGAGUCACCCAAUAUCUGCUGUGAUUUUAAUGCCAAGUUAUUUUAAUGUCUAAGGGAAAGCAUAAAUCAGAAGUUUUCAAAUGACAGGCACAUUUCUGGAGCAAUGUUGCAAACCCAUGUAGGUGAACAAGCUGAGAGUUACAGCUGAGUUCUUUUCUUUGAGUGCCUGUACAAAGCUCUGGAUCCAGCCCAGAGAAAGGGAGAAGGAAUAAAAUUAAUACAGCUCAUAGGAAUGCCUGGAUUUUUGAUGUGAAUUUCUCUCUUAAUGUAUUACAGUUACUUUUUUGGGAAAUUUUCUGCUUUCCAACUAAACAUGUUUUAAUAUAAAUAAUAACAACGAUAAUAAAAUCCAGCAGUUUGCAUUGAGGUCUUAUUUUCCCACAAGGAUUCUUGAGAAGCUGAACAGGGAAUGUUCUCCAGAAGAAAAACAACUUCUGCCCAGCCAAGCAGAGUCCUGCUGCAAAAAGGUGCAACUGCAGUGACUUCAGCACAGCUCUGUGACCUAAAAAAUGGCCAGAAUUGAUGUAAGAGGGAAAAAUGUUGCUCUGGCUCACAUAAAGAAACAGCACAUUCUGUCCCAGAAUGGUUAUGUGGCCCCUGCUGAGCUGAACUUCCCCUGGAUAAUUUCUUUAUGUCUUGGAAUUCAACCUCCAGCCAGCCCAAGGCUUUUUGUGCUACUUAAAUUCGAUGGAAAAAUCAUCUGGGGAGUCUUGGUGAUGUCCUGUGCUCUGUGCUUGUCUACAUGCACAACAAAUUUACUGUGCAAGCUCGAGGCUUUGAUGUUAUUUUUAAAAGUUCUUGAGGGCUGACAAGACUCCUUGAGUUUGGGGUCAAGCUGGAGAGGCUGAAGUGGGCACACAGAUAUUUUCUGAUUUAUUUUAGCAUCCUGUGCAUGAUGCAGCCCUGGGCUGUGUCCACCUCUUCCCACCUCCCUUCAUACCAGUUCACUCUGGCAAAAAUAUGGGAAUUUGUAGUUUCUCCCCCUAUUUUUAUUUCCUGUGCAGAGAAGACAUUUUUAUGCCAUAUUUUGAACAGUUUUUUUUGCUACUUUUUUUUUGCUGCUGAAAAUUUCUUAGACAUGUUUAGCUAAGGUUUGCCACUUGUAUUUUGUUCUAAUAAAACUUCAUUUCUGGUGUAAGGGACUUCUUGGUUUUCAACACAUCUCACUGUUUUCUGUCAUUGUUAGAGAAAGUUUGUUUCACUGAGUUACCUCAAUAAUUCAACUCCUGACAGCUGAUAAUUUACAUUUUUGUUGCAGUCAGUGGUACCAGGGCUCCCUCUCCUGGCUUUCCUUCUUUUCCUGCUGAUUCCCUGAGCAGUUUAAUUCCCCACCACUGCGGAACUGGAAUUAAAUAUUAUAAAUUGGGCAGAUUUGGGGGAGCAGCAACAGAGUUCUGCCACAGAAACCCACGCAAUUUCCCUCCUGCCAGCACACACCCACGAUUUUUACCUAAUCAUUAUUUCUUCAAGCUGUAUAAAGAGCCAAGAAACAACAGCCAGAGCAGUUUUUUUCUAAACCAUCCCUUUGCUCUCUAGGAAGAAGAAGAUGUUUCCAUCACGUUCCUGUCCUGCUGUGAGUGCUUUACUCACUCUCUACACCCUCUAUUAAACUGCACAGCAUUUACUCCCAGAGAUCCAUAACUGGGAUAUCUCCCCCCUCUGCCGAGUAAAAACCAUUGCCUCAUGUUUUUUGUCAUUUUUACAAAGGUGCCCUGACUGCACACAAAAAUCCAGGUAUUAAAUGCUCAGUGUAUUUUGUUUUAUUUUAGACAAAAAAACCUUCCCCCAAAACUAUCAAUUGGCUGAAUAGCUCCACGUUUCUCCUCUUCACAUUCCAAUUUUAAAAGUCCCCAAAACCAUAAGGCAUUCUGCUCUAAAAAUAAAGUACAUUCCUAUUCCACUUGGCCUCCUCUACCCCCUGAGCUAAUUGGUGAAUGUUUUACU